UACGUAGGUGGCAAGCGUUGUCCGGAUUUACUGGGCGUAAAGAGCGCGCAGGCGGUUGAUUAAGUCGAAUGUGAAAGCCCCCGGCUCAACUGGGGAGGGUCAUUCGAUACUGAUCGACUUGAAGGCAGGAGAGAGAAGUGGAAUUCCCGGUGUAGUGGUGAAAUGCGUAGAUAUCGGGAAGAACACCAGUGGCGAAGGCGCUCUACUGGGCCACAACUGACGCUGAGGGACGAAAGCUAGGGGAGCGAAAGGG
This 253-nucleotide ribosomal RNA is filed under the name uncultured bacterium. Its description in RNAcentral is "partial 16S ribosomal RNA". It matches the Rfam family "Bacterial small subunit ribosomal RNA", at positions 524 to 776 of the family's 1533-position model. The record is from RNAcentral.